RNAcentral lists this ribosomal RNA (816 nucleotides) under uncultured bacterium. RNAcentral's name for it is "bacterial SSU rRNA". It matches the Rfam family "Bacterial small subunit ribosomal RNA", at positions 59 to 869 of the family's 1533-position model. The record is from RNAcentral.
CAGUCGAACGGAGAUAUUCGCUGAUGAAGUACUUCGGUAAUGAAUCUUGGAUAUCUUAGUGGCGGACGGGUGAGUAACGCGUGAGCAACCUGCCUUUCAGAGGGGGAUAACGUUUGGAAACGAACGCUAAUACCGCAUGACAUUAUCUUAUCGCAUGGUAGGAUAAUCAAAGGAGCAAUCCGCUGAAAGAUGGGCUCGCGUCCGAUUAGGUAGUUGGUGGGGUAACGGCCCACCAAGCCGACGAUCGGUAGCCGGACUGAGAGGUUGGACGGCCACAUUGGGACUGAGACACGGCCCAGACUCCUACGGGAGGCAGCAGUAAGGGAUAUUGGUCAAUGGGGGAAACCCUGAACCAGCAACGCCGCGUGAGGGAAGACGGUUUUCGGAUUGUAAACCUCUGUCCUCUGUGAAGAUGAUGACGGUAGCAGAGGAGGAAGCUCCGGCUAACUACGUGCCAGCAGCCGCGGUAAUACGUAGGGAGCGAGCGUUGUCCGGAUUUACUGGGUGUAAAGGGUGCGUAGGCGGCUUGGCAAGUCAGUAGUGAAAUCCAUGGGCUUAACCCAUGAACUGCUAUUGAAACUGUCGAGCUUGAGUGAAGUAGAGGUAGGCGGAAUUCCCGGUGUAGCGGUGAAAUGCGUAGAGAUCGGGGGGAACACCAGUGGCGAAGGCGGCCUACUGGGCUUUAACUGACGCUGAGGCACGAAAGCGUGGGUAGCAAACAGGAUUAGAUACCCUGGUAGUCCACGCUGUAAACGAUGAUUACUAGGUGUGGGUGGACUGACCCCAUCCGUGCCGGAGUUAACACAAUAAGUAAUC